GGCGGGGCGGGGGCACGGGGGGAGGAAAGUAGGGGAUCGCAAGACCUUGCGCUUUUGGAGCGGACGAUGUCUGAUUAGAUGCUUGCUGGGGUAAUGGCUUAAGUUAGCUUCGAUCAGUAGCUGGUCUGAGAGGACGACCAAGCCACACUGGGACUGAGACACGGCCCAGACUCCUACGGGAGGCAGCAGUGGGGAAUUUUGGACAAUGGGGGAAACCCUGAUCCAGCCAUGCCGCGUGAG
Molecule: ribosomal RNA, 240 nt
Filed under: uncultured Nitrosospira sp.
Lineage: Bacteria; Pseudomonadati; Pseudomonadota; Betaproteobacteria; Nitrosomonadales; Nitrosomonadaceae
Description: partial 16S ribosomal RNA
Rfam family: Bacterial small subunit ribosomal RNA
Source: RNAcentral